Molecule: ribosomal RNA, 253 nt
Filed under: uncultured bacterium
Lineage: Bacteria
Description: partial 16S ribosomal RNA
Rfam family: Bacterial small subunit ribosomal RNA
Source: RNAcentral
UACAGAGGGGGCAAGCGUUGUUCGGAAUUACUGGGCGUAAAGGGCGCGUAGGCGGCCUGCUAAGUCGAACGUGAAAUCCCUGGGCUCAACCCAGGAACUGCGUCCGAUACUGGUUGGCUUGAAUCCGGGAGAGGGAUGUGGAAUUCCAGGUGUAGCGGUGAAAUGCGUAGAUAUCUGGAGGAACACCGGUGGCGAAGGCGACAUCCUGGACCGGUAUUGACGCUGAGGCGCGAAAGCUAGGGGAGCAAACAGG